CGCACUGCCAAGCAGCCUUCCAAGAGCUAUUGCCUCAGACUCUUACUCCUUUUUUCUUUCCCUCCAAACCCCAAUCUGGGAGGCCUUCUGUCCCUGCCUAGAUCUGAUGAUAAGGGCCUCUCCAUCAUAAGGCGCUGUUCUUACCCAUGGUUUAUCUCUAAGACAGAAUGCUCAGUUCUUGCCACCCCUGGAGACAACUCACCCCCAGCUCCCAGUUAUUGUAUGUAUCUAACCCCCACAGUCUGGAGACUCCAGCACAGUAGACAGUUGGGGGGACAGAAAGGACACACAGCUGUACCAUUCACAGCUACAGCUCUAGGGCCUGCCAGGGCCCGGAGUGGCCUGGGAGGCUCAGCAGCUAGACCCUGG
Molecule: long non-coding RNA, 369 nt
Filed under: Homo sapiens (human)
Lineage: Eukaryota; Metazoa; Chordata; Mammalia; Primates; Hominidae
Description: HSALNT0054476
Source: RNAcentral